This 443-nucleotide ribosomal RNA is filed under the name uncultured bacterium. RNAcentral's name for it is "partial 16S ribosomal RNA". It matches the Rfam family "Bacterial small subunit ribosomal RNA", at positions 338 to 795 of the family's 1533-position model. The record is from RNAcentral.
CCUACGGGCGGCAGCAGUGGGGAAUAUUGGACAAUGGGGGGAACCCUGAUCCAGCGACGCCGCGUGAGUGAAGAAGUAUUUCGGUAUGUAAAUCUCUAUCAGCAGGGAAGAAAGAAAUGACGGUACCUGACUAAGAAGCCCCGGCUAACUACGUGCCAGCAGCCGCGGUAAUACGUAGGGGGCAAGCGUUAUCCGGAUUUACUGGGUGUAAAGGGAGCGUAGACGGCGAUGCAAGUCUGAAGUGAAAGGCGGGGGCCCAACCCCCGGACUGCUUUGGAAACUGUAUGGCUGGAGUGCAGGAGAGGUAAGUGGAAUUCCUAGUGUAGCGGUGAAAUGCUUAGAUAUCACGAAGAACCCCGAGUGCGAAGGCAGCCUGCCGCAGCGUUACUGACGCUGAAGCUCGAAAGCGCGGGUAUCGAACAGGAUUAGAUACCCUGGUAGUC